GGCUGGGGCUGCAGCUCAGUGGUAGAGCACCUGUCUGUCACGUGUAAGGUACUUGGUUCUAUCCUCAGCACCACAUAAAAAUAAAUAAAUAAAUAUAUUGUGUCCAUCUACAACUAGAAAAAAUUUAAAAAAUAAAUAAAAAAACAUAUCAUUCAUCAUCCUUAUAAUUUUCAAGUAUACAGUUCAGUAGUGUUAAGUAUAUUCACACUAUUGUGAAACAGAGAUUUAGAACUUUUUCACCUUGGAAACUGGAAAUUCUGUUAACUCCACUGAUUAACUCUCCUUUUUCUCCCCUCCCCCAGCCCCUGAUAAACACAAUUUUACUUGCUGUUUGCAUUAAUUUCACUGCUUUUAAAUACUUCGUGUGAGUGGAAUUACACACUAUUUGUCUUUUGUGACUGGCUCAUUCCAUUUAGCAUAAUGUCCACCAGGCUCAUCCGCAUUGUAGCAUGUUGCAGGAUUUUCUUCCUUCCUGAGGCUGAAUAAUAUUCCACUGCAUUAUCUACCACACUGGCUUAUCCUCCCAUCCAUCACUGGACACUUGGUUUGCUUCCGCUUCUUGGCUGUUGUAAGUAGUGCUGCUAGGAGCGUGGGUGAGAAAAUAUUUCUUCAGCAUUCUGCUCUGAUUCUUUUGGAUAUAUAUCCAGAAGUGGAAUUGCUGGAUCAUAUGGUAAUUCUAUUUUUUUUCCUUCUUGAGGAAACUCCAUACUGUUUUCCAUAGCAUUUGUGCCAUUUCACAAUCCCAUCUAUAGAACCUAAGGAUUCACUUUCUACACAUUCUCACCAGCCCUGUGGUUUUGUUUUGUGUGAUAGCAUCCAUGCUAAUAGGUGGAAGGUGAUACUUUGUUGUGC
RNAcentral lists this long non-coding RNA (852 nucleotides) under Marmota monax (woodchuck). Lineage: Eukaryota; Metazoa; Chordata; Mammalia; Rodentia; Sciuridae. The record is from RNAcentral.